This 309-nucleotide long non-coding RNA is filed under the name Phascolarctos cinereus (koala). RNAcentral's name for it is "lncRNA (ENSPCIG00000023369.2)". The record is from RNAcentral. Lineage: Eukaryota; Metazoa; Chordata; Mammalia; Diprotodontia; Phascolarctidae.
AUCUUUAAGGCGCUGUGAGUUAAAAAAAUGUUUUUUUUUCUUUUUGUUCCCUAUCAUUUCAGCGCAGCUGCAGGCUUCUGAGACAAAUAGGGAAAUAAGAAAGACCCCCUUUUAACCAGGAAAGUUCUCUGGAUGGAAGAAUUGAACCUUCUGUUGGAACAAUUUAGGCACUUUAAAGAGAUAUCAAAUUACUUGAAGUUGAUUAAAAUUUUGUGAAGAAAAAUCCUGGGAAAUUAUAAAGCACUGGCAGAUGAAAGAGUGGCACAGAAUGAGGUUGGAACUGACAGGGAUUAUUUCAGGAGAAGCCCA